AAACGAGAGCGUCUUCGUGUUUUCUUUCGCCAUCCUCUUAGUUCCUCGUUGUCUCCGGUGAAAGCAUCUCGGUGGCUAGAUCAUUAUCCGGUGAACUGAAAUCUAUUUUGUUUUGGACGGUAGACGACGGCCGUGGAUUGAAGGAGAUUAUCAUUCAAUCUAUGAAACGAUGAUAUGCUUUAAUUUCGGCUCCGAUCAGUCUGAAAUCUUACGGAUGUUGCAUCGGCUUUUGCUUGGAUCAUCGUCGUCGGCUUCUACUUGGAUCAUCAUCAUCGAUCGGAAUCCACAGAGUUUAUGUAUAAAGAGAGAGUUUUGAUUUGUCUCUGAAGGAAGAAGAUGAGAAAGAAAGAAAUAGAGAGAGUUUUGAUUUGUCUCUCAAGGAAGAAUUAGAAGAAGCGUUGUUGAGACUGCGUGAGAGCGUCUCUCAUCUAUUUAUUUAUAAGGGGAGCAAAGAGGUUCAAAAGAAACAAGGAAAUUGCUAAUCACAAUUAACAACGGUCACAAUCACAUAAUAUUUGACAAGAUAAACUUAACGGUCACAUAAUAUUUGACAAGAAACACUUAACGGUCACAUAAAGAUUUCCUUUUUUCCUUGGAUGGCUUUUCAUGAGUUUGUUUCCUUUGUUUGUUAGUUGUUACUGUGAGAGAAUCUGAUGAGUUUAAUUAAAGUGAAGAAUUCACUCAUUGC
Molecule: long non-coding RNA, 688 nt
Organism: Arabidopsis thaliana (thale cress)
Lineage: Eukaryota; Viridiplantae; Streptophyta; Magnoliopsida; Brassicales; Brassicaceae
Product: other RNA
Exons: 1
Source: RefSeq